UACGUAGGGACCGAGCGUUGUCCGGAUUCAUUGGGCGUAAAGGGCUCGUAGGCGGCUGCUCAAGUCGAAUGUGAAAACUCGAGGCUCAACCUCGAGCCUGCAUUCGAUACUGGGCGGCUAGAGUCUGGUAGGGGGAUCUGGAAUUCCUGGUGUAGCGGUGGAAUGCGCAGAUAUCAGGAGGAACACCGGUGGCGAAGGCGGGAUCCUGGGCCAGUACUGACGCUGAUGAGCGAAAGCGUGGGGAGCAAACGGG
Molecule: ribosomal RNA, 253 nt
Filed under: uncultured bacterium
Lineage: Bacteria
Description: partial 16S ribosomal RNA
Rfam family: Bacterial small subunit ribosomal RNA
Source: RNAcentral